UACGGGGGGGGCAAGCGUUGUUCGGAAUUACUGGGCGUAAAGGGCUCGUAGGCGGCCAACUAAGUCGGAUGUGAAAUCCCCAGGCUUAACCUGGGAACUGCAUCCGAUACUGGAUGGCUUGAAUCCGGGAGAGGGAUGCAGAAUUCCAGGUGUAGCGGUGAAAUUCGUAGAUAUUCGCAAGAACACCAGUGGCGAAGGCGGCUCACUGGCCCGGUACUGACGCUGAGGUGCGAAAGCGUGGGGAGCAAACAGG
Molecule: ribosomal RNA, 253 nt
Filed under: uncultured bacterium
Lineage: Bacteria
Description: partial 16S ribosomal RNA
Rfam family: Bacterial small subunit ribosomal RNA
Source: RNAcentral